RNAcentral lists this unclassified non-coding RNA (207 nucleotides) under plant metagenome. RNAcentral describes it as "partial contains small subunit ribosomal RNA and internal transcribed spacer 1". The stretch from base 1 to 45 matches the Rfam family "Eukaryotic small subunit ribosomal RNA", at positions 1787 to 1831 of the family's 1831-position model. The record is from RNAcentral.
AGUCGUAACAAGGUUUCCGUAGGUGAACCUGCGGAAGGAUCAUUACCGAGUUCAUGCCCUUCGGGGUAGAUCUCCCACCCUUUGUAUAUCAUACCUCUGUUGCUUUGGCGGGCCGCCUAGCUACUGGCUUCGGCUGGUAAGUGCCCGCCAGAGGACCCAAAACCCUGAAUAUUAGUGUCGUCUGAGUAAAAAGUUUAAUAUUUAAAA